AGUGAACGCUGGCGGUAGGCCUAACACAUGCAAGUCGAACGGCAGCACAGUAAGAGCUUGCUCUUACGGGUGGCGAGUGGCGGACGGGUGAGGAAUACAUCGGAAUCUACUUUUUCGUGGGGGAUCACGUAGGGAAACUUACGCUAAUACCGCAUACGACCUACGGGUGAAAGCAGGGGAUCUUCGGACCUUGCGCGAUUGAAUGAGCCGAUGUCGGAUUAGCUAGUUGGCGGGGUAAAGGCCCACCAAGGCGACGAUCCGUAGCUGGUCUGAGAGGAUGAUCAGCCACACUGGAACGGAGACACGGUCCAGACUCCUACGGGAGGCAGCAGUGGGGAAUAUUGGACAAUGGGCGCAAGCCUGAUCCAGCCAUACCGCGUGGGUGAAGAAGGCCUUCGGGUUGUAAAGCCCUUUUGUUGGGAAAGAAAAGCAGCAGGUUAAUACCCCGCUGUUCUGACGGUACCCAAAGAAUAAGCACCGGCUAACUUCGUG
This 492-nucleotide ribosomal RNA is filed under the name uncultured bacterium. Its description in RNAcentral is "partial 16S ribosomal RNA". It matches the Rfam family "Bacterial small subunit ribosomal RNA", at positions 29 to 507 of the family's 1533-position model. The record is from RNAcentral.